This 908-nucleotide ribosomal RNA is filed under the name Salmonella enterica subsp. enterica serovar Javiana. RNAcentral describes it as "partial 23S ribosomal RNA". It matches the Rfam family "Bacterial large subunit ribosomal RNA", at positions 568 to 1438 of the family's 2925-position model. The record is from RNAcentral. Lineage: Bacteria; Pseudomonadati; Pseudomonadota; Gammaproteobacteria; Enterobacterales; Enterobacteriaceae.
ACGGUUAACGGAGCGAAAGCGACGUUCAACCGCAAAAGAAGCAGAGGGGGCUUAGUGGUGGGGUGACUGCGUACCUUUUGUAUAAUGGGUCAGCGACUUAUAUUCUGUAGCAAGGUUAACCGAAUAGGGGAGCCGGAGGGAAACCGAGUCUUAACCGGGCGUUAAGUUGCAGGGUAUAGACCCGAAACCCGGUGAUCUAGCCAUGGGCAGGUUGAAGGUUGGGUAACACUAACUGGAGGACCGAACCGACUAAUGUUGAAAAAUUAGCGGAUGACCUGUGGCUGGGGGUGAAAGGCCAAUCAAACCGGGAGAUAGCUGGUUCUCCCCGAAAGCUAUUUAGGUAGCGCCUCGUGAAUUCAUCUCCGGGGGUAGAGCACUGUUUCGGCUAGGGGGCCAUCCCGGCUUACCAACCCGAUGCAAACUGCGAAUACCGGAGAAUGUUAUCACGGGAGACACACGGCGGGUGCUAACGUCCGUCGUGAAGAGGGAAACAACCCAGACCGCCAGCUAAGGUCCCAAAGUCAUGGUUAAGUGGGAAACGAUGUGGGAAGGCCCAGACAGCCAGGAUGUUGGCUUAGAAGCAGCCAUCAUUUAAAGAAAGCGUAAUAGCUCACUGGUCGAGUCGGCCUGCGCGGAAGAUGUAACGGGGCUAAACCAUGCACCGAAGCUGCGGCAGCGACACUCAGGUGUUGUUGGGUAGGGGAGCGUUCUGUAAGCCUGUGAAGGUGGCCUGUGAGGGUUGCUGGAGGUAUCAGAAGUGCGAAUGCUGACAUAAGUAACGAUAAAGCGGGUGAAAAGCCCGCUCGCCGGAAGACCAAGGGUUCCUGUCCAACGUUAAUCGGGGCAGGGUGAGUCGACCCCUAAGGCGAGGCCGAAAGGCGUAGUCGAUGGGAAACGGGUUAAUAUUC